UCGCCUUCACGUGUUGCCACGUCGCCACUGAGCUCCCACGCAUAAAUAUCGCCCGUCCAUGUCCAUCUAUCGAUCUCAUCUCAUACUCACACUCCUCAACCUGUUUUAAGCUAGGGCAGCAGCCAUGGGUGUCAAGUGUGGUGGUGUCGUGUGGUGUCUCCUGCUCGCCGGGCUCCUUCUCCUGGCCGUGGCCUCCGCGGCGGAGCGGGACACGGAGAAGGAGGAGGAGAUCCGGUUGUGCAAGAAGGUCUGCGACUGGAAGGCGGGGGAGGACACCGGGAAGGCCAGGGAGUGCAAGGAGCAGUGCGAGCGCCGCCGCCACGGCCACGAGCUGCUCCAGGAAGACGGCGACAGCUUCGACAGCUGCGUGAGCCAGUGCCGGGGCCAUGGGGGCUGGUGGGGGAAGGAGCGGUGGGAACGGUGCAGGCAGAUAUGCAGGCAACGCCAAGAAGGGGAGGGGGGCGACGACGACUUCGACGAGGGCGACAACGCCGACGACAGGUGCGACAGGAUGUGCCAGCGCUACCACGACCGGCAGGAGAAGAUGCAGUGCAUGAAAGGCUGCAGACAUGGCGAGUCCGGCCUCCUCCGCUCCGACGAGGGCCACAAACACGGAGACCGCUGCCAAACACAGUGCAAGCGCUUCCGGCCCGGGUCAUACGACAGGCAGCAGUGCAUCGAAAAGUGCCAGUGCCAGCAGAAGGAGGAGGAGGAGGUGAUGAACCACCACGGCGGCGGUGGCCAUGGCCACGGAGACCGCUGCCAAACGCAGUGCAAGCGCUUCCCGCGCGGGUCGUACGACAGGUGGCAGUGCACUGAGAGGUGCCAGAGCCAUCAGCAGGACGACGAGGAGCUGAUGAACCACCACGGCGGCCACGAAAGCAGCAGCUGCGAGCAGAAAUGCCAGCAGCGACACCGCCACGAGUACGAUAGGCAGCAGUGCGUGCGAGACUGCAAAAGCGGCGGUGGCGGCGGCGCCGGUGGGCGUGGCCGCGAGGGCGACGAGCGCCAGCACGACAGGGGGAUGGUGGUCGAAGCCAUCCUCGAGGAGGUGUAACGGCUGGAUGAAAGUAGCCAGCUCUUUCCAGGAGCUCGACCUCUUUACCGGUCUUGCAUCUUGCUAUGCGUACGUGGUAGGUGCAUGUGUGAGCUACAAUAAAUUGCGGUAACUAGAAGUGGCUCUCCAGCCUUGGAGAGAGCCUGUGUACGAGGAAUCAAUCUGGAAAGCAAUGUGGUGAUGUGUCAUGUGUGAUAAAUAAAAUAAGCAAGGUUUCGAAAUUAAGCCCCCAAAAUAUCUGAAUCAGCUCAAGAUAUAUGUAGGUAUGUGGUUGAAUUUUUCUUUCACAAUUACUACGAAUACAUUUUCCUCCCAAGUAUUAUAGACCGGACUCAUGUGUAUGUACGGUAAAAUCUCUUGUUUUCAUGGUACCCGUCUCAAGCGUCCGGGCGGAUGGCUGACACAGGCGGGCACCUCAAACGAGUGUUAAACAUCUAGGGCUGAUCGGCACCUCUUCCCCGGACGUGUCCGUCAUGUCGGACUGACGAUAGGGUUCCACUCGGAAUCGCUUGAAAACUCGGUGGUCCGAAGCUCGUCUCCUUCGUCGGACCGAUGAUGUGGCGUGGCGCCGCUCCGGCGGGCCGUUUAGUGCCCUAGCCCAGUUAUUUAAACCGAUCAUGGGCACCGAAAUCAUAUACGACCACAUUUCUCCCCUCGUGUCCGCCGCCAGCGCACUUUCCAAUCGCCCUCCGCUACCCUAGUAGUCAUGCCUCCACGCCGGGUUAGGAGCUACCCAUAUCUAACGCCGGAGCGCUGGUUGCAACUCCUUGAGUAGGUUCGGGCAAGGCACGAAGACCGGAUCGCCGCGGGGCUACCUUCGGAUGCGGUGGAUCCGGAGGACUUGGAGGUGGAGGAUAUCGGGGAUGCUGGGGACGCGGAUCUGCAGGCGAUCCUCGAUUCCCUUUGGUCGAAACCGGAGGCGGAAGCCAACCGCAGUCGUCUGCAGGAGGCGGAGGCGGAGCACGCCGCGGUCUUCGAUAAGAUGCUCGCGUAUAUGGAUGAGGAGGAGCCGGAGCCCUUCUAUGCGCCCAUCUACCCGCCGCUCGGUACUGACAUCGUUGACAUCUCCGACGAUGAAGUGUAGCUAGCGUGUCCUAGCACGUAGGUUUAUUUUACAUCAUUUGUAUGGAUGUAGGGAAUUAAAUAUGAAAGACUUGGAUGCAUAGCAUCAAGUAGGAGGCGUGACCGGUCACUGUCCGUGGAAACGUCCAGUCGCAUCCGUGAACAUUUGAGGGGUUGAAUUUGCUGUUCGCGGCUGUAGAUGCUUUUCGCACCAAUUAUACAAAAUCAUGGCAAAAAAUAUUGGAGAUAAAAAAUAGUCAAGCACAUUUGUCAGCGCUAGUACCAUUACCAAGUGAUGGUUGUGGUGCGAAUCAACCUGUGGUUGAGUUGGUUAGGUGGACAGUGGUAUCCCCAACCCACCAGGGUUCAAAUCCUGAUGCUCGCAUUAUUUCUGGAUUUAUUUCAGGAUUUCCGGCGAUGCGUUUUCAGUGGGAGGAGACGUUUCCAUCGACGACGAGGCGCCUACGAUGACUUCGUAAAUCUUAAGAUGAUAUGCCGGCUCAGUCUCUCGGAGGUGUUCAUAGGGGUAGGGUGUGUGUGUGUGUGCGUUCAUAGGGGUGAGUGUAUGCGCGUGUAUAUGAGCGCUUGUGUCUGUACUGAUGCUCAAAAAAAAAGUGAUGGUUGUGGUUGAUCCAUGCUUGAAUAUCAAUAUUUUUGGUAUUGCUAAAUAUGUGUACCGCGCAUGACGCCAUCCUGACAUGAGCCUGAUAUGGCUCGUGUGUCCACGGGUGUGCCUCAAUUUGGGCACGUUAUAUGCUCGGCCCGACCAUUUUAUGAAGUGCUUGCAAUUCACUCGGCUACUUGAUGUGGGAUUAAAAUGUUGAGCUGCGUUCUCCGUCCUCCUUAAUUGUUAAAUUAAAUUAGAGCAUCUUUUUUUUUAGAAUCACCUGAGGGAGUUUCCCCACCAAAAUAUAUUACUCAAAGUGACCAAUACGCCAGAAGAGUGAUCCAUUUUACCCGGAAAAAAAAGUGAUCCAGUUUAUAAGAAAAACUGGAUCAAAAACCAUAACAAGUUAACCAUGUUUAUGGGAAAAACUGGACCAAAAACCAUACAAGUUACAAGAGAAAAUCAGAUAAAAUAAAAAGGACCGAAUCGAAAACCAUAACAAAUUGACCUUGUUUAUAAGAAAAACAGGGCCGGAGACCAUACAAGUAACGGGGAAAAGAAGAUAAAAAAAGGCACCAAGGACAAGGCACGGCCUACUUAGCUGACAUAAGAUCAUCACCAUGAAAUACACAAGUAGAUGAGGAGUACCUACGAGGGAUCACAAUACCAAGAUUUUGCAAACAGCCAAACCCAUUGGUAUGCGUACCAACCCCCACGGCACAACCCAGGAGCGUCCACAAUCAACAAGUGCCAAACAAACACGAACCUUGACUAGGAGCUCCACCAUAGAAGAUUGAACGAUUAGCAAGAUUGUGAGGCAUCAUGCGCCAUCGUUGAGCAAAGCUGAACCGAGACUACACCAUGAGCACGAACCUCGCUACAACGAUAGGCAUGAGACGGUCUUGAGCAAGCAACACUAGGGACGACACAAACACGCAAAGGCCAAGGGCGGAUGGAUGGCAGCGAAGGGCUCACUAUGACACCUUCAGGAAGGUGAACCACGUCCGUAGACCACAUCGGCAAUGGACUUUCGUUCGUAGCCCACACCGAACGGACCAGGUACAACUCGAAGGCCAUGCCCCCAAGAAGGGAAGUGACGCCGGACUGACGUCGCUGUGGUUAGCUGACGCUGGGGUCAGCAGGGAUUUCUCCCAGAGCAAGACCAGAUCCAGCCUGACAAGGCAACGGAGAAAGAUCACGGAAGACUUAGCAUUUAGUACUUUCCCAUAUCGACGCCUAUCCAUAUUAACCAAUUGACCAACUUGGAACAAUACUGGCGUGUUGACCCUCUCCUUUGUAGGGGUUACAGGCAAUGUGGGCGAUGGUGAUGAGAGGAAACCCUCCUCCUCCUCCUCCUCCUCCUCCAGCAUCGUAGUGAUGUGUCGACCAUCGUGCUCCUCCUAUGUUGUGAACUUGUCAAGUAGUUGUUUCUUAUGUUUUGUGUUCGUCGAUGGAUUAGAGUGAACUUGGGAACUAUGUUUUGAACUUGUCGGGAGCUAAGUUGUGAACUUGUUGCUAUAUAUGACUUCAGUUCGACCGUGAUGUCACUUUGAGUUAUCUAUAUGUCACACCAUGUAUAUUUGAUAUGUUUUAUGAAAUUAUGUCAAACAAUGUAUAUGUGUUGUUUGUGGAUUGCAGAGACUUAGGACAAAACAAAUGGUUGAUUGUUGUGUUGGUAUUUUUUUUUUCUGAGUACAUCACUCGACGGCACAAGGAUUUGACGAGUACACAUCUCGGCAGACGCGGCGCAUGGGUUCUGCAGGCAACUUCACAUCUUUCCCGAGAGCAUCAUCACUCAGAAAGACAUGCGACAUGGCAAGAGCUUAGCACACAUGAAGAACUCUCUCGAGUACGUUACCGGCCGUGCUUGAUAAACAUUUACUGCAGGGAAAAGGUGUUUUCGUAAAUAGUUUGAAGAGUACAUGAUUAUAGAGUCUCGGCAAAUGUGGACUGGACGUCACAGAGCCGUCAAUUGCAAACAGCCGUGCCACGUGGCUCGUCUUUGCCGUGUGCCGCAUUGCAAUCUCAGCAUUCUCUUUGUAUGCCGAGUGCUUUCGUCUAAGCCGAGUGUUGCCUAGAGGGGCUCGGUAAAUUCUCUCAUAUGCCGUGCACUAUUGUGUGCUGAGAGCCGUACUCGGCUUAUAUGUCUUUUGCCAUGAUCCCGUGUUCCCGCACUCGGCUUAGACAAAAAAACUCGGUAACAAUGAUUUUUCCAGUAGUGUGUAUGCAUGGAGGCAGGAGAACAUCCAUGCCGUUGAGACAAGGUAUGUGCUGCACCACCCAUUUGUUUUCGUGUUUUUUGUUUCUUAUCUCUGUUGACCCGACGCAAUCAACCGGAAUUGAGUUCGAGGAAAGGCAAGAAUUACAUCUGCCAUCCGCCCGAAUUGUUUUCCACACAACAGAAACCGUCAAGUUGUAAUCAUGAUCAGAAAGCCAUUGCUUGCAACAAUGAAACCGCUCAUGUGAUGAAGUCGCAUGGAAUAAGAGAUAAUGAGCAUACAAACAAACAAUGAAGAUAUACGAGUGCUCAUGAUUCAUAUGAUAAUUUCAGAUUGGAUUUGGUCUGUGGGAAGAGUUUUUUUAAGGGGAUGCGCGAUCUUUAGGACCUGAAGUGAAUCACAGCAGGAGAAGUCAUAACGAGCCCCUCUGUAAUCCUCUCCCUCAGCAGAUCCUUCUUCCUGCUCGUCCUUGUAUAUUUCGACAAACAAUCGUCCCUCUUGAGGCCGAAUUCUUCAGUGCAGAAGUCGCACACCUUCGUGUCAUGCAGAGAUAUCUCCUUCAUGUUCACCGCAACACUCAUGACACGCUUGACGUAUCUAAUGAAGCGGUGGGCGGAUUGGAAGCCGUAGAUGGUUAGCCUGGCCAGAUUCUCAUGCUUGAAAUCAGCACCUAGAGAUGGCUCCCAUUGCACAUCCCUUUUCUUGCAGUGAGCGCGCCGUGUCUCAGCACCGCACCCGUGAUCGCGCACCGAUAGGCACAUCUCCUCCAAGGAUGGCGCGUCUUCAAGAAAAACAAUGUCCAUGCGAUGUCGCACCCUUUGGGAAGAAAGUCCAGAUUCACGCGCCGUAGACUACCGAGCACUGGGCUGAGCCAUUUCGGGCACUCUGGCUGGACCCAUAUCUGGGACAAAUCGAACAAAGGGGUUGGUGAGUGCAAGAUGCACAUAAGUUACUUUCUCAAAUGAUAUAGACUAGACCGUAAACGAAAUAUAAUGUAAAACAGUCCAUAUUGCUACCAGAGAGAUCAUAUAUAACACCAUGAUUGGAGAUUUGGAGUGAGUUGAACACACGUACCAUUUCGCUUUGAAAGUCCAGAUGCAUAUCGCUAAUGGAGGUGACAUUAAUGAGCAGUUGGCUUAGCUCGAUUCUCUCGUCUGUAUCGUUCGAAAGAUAAGUAUUAGUGAGGCUUAGCAUCGAGAGCUGCGGGACAUAACCAAAAAAUAAGGGAUCUUCGUCAAAGGCCCAAUUAUCAUAGACCAUCCGCCGGAGCUUCGGCAGCCAGAUGAGCUCCACCGUGCCGAACCUGCCGUAGGAAAUCUCGAGCUCGACGAGGCGCCCGUGCUCUAGCUGCAGCACCGACUCGACGCCGCCGUCACACUCGAAGAGAUGCAAAGACUCCAGACGCUCACAUGCGGCAAGGAUGCUGGAGAUGGCGUCGGGGUCGCUAAACCUCAGGUUCUCCAGGUGCAGCCGUGUGAGCCCGGCGAAGGCCUCGGGGCAGGCGCGGAGGAAGGUGCUGAACCGCUUCGCGUAGCCGACAAGGUAGCCGUCGACGCACUUGUUGAAGUCCUCCGUGAUGAUCUUGAACUCGGCGGCGCCCACCCUGUUCAUCGCCAUGGCGCGGGCGACGGAGGGAGAUGCAGUCGUCGAGUUGCAGGAAGAACUUGAGCUUCAGCUUGCUGAUGGGCAUGUUGGGAGGCCUCGCGUCAAGGAUCCUGUGCGUUACGUGGGCGACCGAGCAGUUUGUCCGGGCCACCAUGGCCCUGCUCAUGCUGAAGUCGGCGUCCUCCGCGGCGGCGGGUAGAGCGGAGUAGACGUCGAUGGCGAUCCGGGAGAGCAUGGCGGGGAGGUGGAGCGUCCGCUUGGAGAGGAGUCAGGUCCUGACGGCGUCCAGCGCGCACACCCUGUCGAGGAUGUUGAGCAGCAUGUCGUCCGAUAGCUCGCUCAGCCUGUCAACCCCAUUACCGGCAGCUUCUUCAUGCAGCUGCAUGCAACCAGGGAGAUGCGUACGAUGAUGGUAGAUCUGUUCAUAAUCCGUCUGAGUUACAUCUAGGAGAGAAUUAACAAGAACAGCACUCAAGCACGACUUACAUCACCGUUGGUGUGGAGACCCUUCAUGGCGAUUGGAGGAGGGUGUUGCCGGCUACUAGGGCCGGCGGCGGCGUAGUACUUUCCUUGUGCAUGCAAAGGGGGGAAGAGGAGAUGGUUUAGGGACGUUUUGCAACCGGACUCUCAACCAAAAAUGCUAGACUUAGGUUAAGCCAUUUUUUCUAAAGACUUAGGUUAAGCCUUUUCAGUCCCCUAUAUGUAAUUCCCAUUCAUCCUAACCAAACGCCCAUACAUCAUCAUCUAUGAUAUGUAUCGCCCGAGAUAUAUUAAGGCUCGCCUACACAUGCGCUACAGUACUGGGCCGGCCCGUUUUCACCCGUUCUCGCUCGACCAUUUUCUUCAGAUUUUUUUCGUUUCCAUUUUCCUUCGGUUUUUCAUGAGUUUUCUUUUGUCUUUUUUUUUCAUUUUUUCUUCACCUUUUUCUUUUGGGUUUAUUUGUUCUUUUUUGGUUUCCUUUGUUUUCUUCGAUUUGUUUUUUGCUUCUUUGUUGGCUUCUUAUUGGGUUUUUUCUUUUGGGUUUAUGUUUUUCUUUUGUUUUUUUCACCAUUUUUCUUCGUUAUACUUUUGUUUUCCUUUGUUUUUGAUGAUUUUCUUCGGUCUUCCUUUGUUUUUGAUGAUUUUCUUCGGUUUCUUUUCUUUUUUCAUUUUACUAUUGAUUCCUUCUUGGUUUUCACCAUUUUUCCUUUUCUUCUUUUCGGUUUCUUUGUUGAGAGACUUGGUUUUCCCAGAGCACCUCAUGGUUGUGGUGGCGACCCUUGCACUGCACUGCUCCUUGUACUCCUUAGCCUUCCGUUGUCCUUCCACGCCUUCCAGUCGCAUUCCUUCUUGCACCUCGGAGGCCACGGCCAGGAGAAGGAG
Molecule: long non-coding RNA, 7912 nt
Filed under: Triticum aestivum (bread wheat)
Lineage: Eukaryota; Viridiplantae; Streptophyta; Magnoliopsida; Poales; Poaceae
Description: long non-coding RNA (TAES_LNC010982)
Source: RNAcentral